RNAcentral lists this transfer RNA (69 nucleotides) under Duttaphrynus melanostictus (Asian common toad). Its description in RNAcentral is "partial tRNA-Gly". It matches the Rfam family "tRNA". Rfam says of the family: Transfer RNA (tRNA) molecules are approximately 80 nucleotides in length. Their secondary structure includes four short double-helical elements and three loops (D, anti-codon, and T loops). Further hydrogen bonds mediate the characteristic L-shaped molecular structure. tRNAs have two regions of fundamental functional importance: the anti-codon, which is responsible for specific mRNA codon recognition, and the 3' end, to which the tRNAs corresponding amino acid is attached (by aminoacyl-tRNA synthetases). tRNAs cope with the degeneracy of the genetic code in two manners: having more than one tRNA (with a specific anti-codon) for a particular amino acid; and 'wobble' base-pairing, i.e. permitting non-standard base-pairing at the 3rd anti-codon position. The record is from RNAcentral. Lineage: Eukaryota; Metazoa; Chordata; Amphibia; Anura; Bufonidae.
AUUUUCUUAGUAUAAUUAGUACUAAUCACUUCCAAUCAUUAAGCCUUGGUUAAACCCCAAGAGAAAAUA